GAGGCCGGGUGGCCUGUCCUCCGGUGGGGACUCCUGGAAGUUCCUUCCUUCCAUCGACUUCCGCUGGCAGCUCCGGUUCUGGGCCGCGUGGGAGGUGCUGGGGAGAGCUGCGGCCAAGGACAGCCUCUGAUCCCUGUGGGGGGUCAGACUGAGUGGCGGUGGUCCCGCAAAGGGCGGUUGCGAUCCCCAGGGAGUGUCGUGGUGGGGGCAGAGCCACACAGACUUGAAGUGGGGGCCGGCAUCUUCUUAGGCCUAAGAACCUGGUUUCCUGAAAGGGGCUCAUCUCCUGGGAAAGGAGGUCGGACUGCAAGGCACACGUGGAGCUCCAGGACUUGGGUCUUGAACAAAACAGGGACAAUUCUAUUCACUUGGAGAAGACGGUCCUGUGGAACAUGUAUUAUCAAGUGCUCCCCUGGGACACCCCAAGAGUCUCACGCUUGCAAUCUAUGGCUGUGAAUUCCCAAGAUCCUCCCCCCACCGGGACCUGUGUCUGAUGGAGCGAGCCCAGUCGUGUUUCUGGAGAGCAGGUAAUCAGGCUUUGCAAUAGGAAAACCAGAAAGGGCACAGCCCAAAAAGCCGUCAGAGAGAAUGCUGUCUUGCUAUUUACAGAGGGUUUAAUUUGAGUGGGCAGAGGUGACAGCAGAUGGGGCCGAGGCAGUGGGAGAGGGCUUUCUAACAAGACAACCUGCUGUAUGCCAGCGACUCAUAGCUCCCGGGGAGGGGGUGUGGGCGGAUCAUCUCCAUCCACAGAGCUGAAGUUCAAAGGGGAACGCUGUCAGUGUAUGGCUAAGCACCUGGGUGGAGAACCUAGGCACUCUGACUCCUGUUUGAUGCUGUUUCCGGAACACCAAUUCUGAUGCCUUUUCUUUGAUAGAGGAGGAUGCCAGGGUCUAGGAUGAUAAAGAGGCUUACAGCUCAUCUAGCUGCUCAGUGACACCCUGGGGACCAGAUCUGACCGCUUCACCAGGGUCUCCUGCAUGUAACGGUAAAUGACGAGUGAUGUCGUCCGUCUCUUAUUUCAGAAACUGGCUGU
RNAcentral lists this long non-coding RNA (1033 nucleotides) under Capra hircus (goat). RNAcentral describes it as "lncRNA (ENSCHIG00000005338.1)". Lineage: Eukaryota; Metazoa; Chordata; Mammalia; Artiodactyla; Bovidae. The record is from RNAcentral.